UGAGUAACCUGCUCUUCACUCUGGGAUAACUCCGGGAAACCGGGGCUAAUACUGGAUAUGACUCGAACAGGCAUCUGUUUCGGGUGGAAAGAUUUAUUGGUGGAGGAUGGACUCGCGGCCUAUCAGCUUGUUGGUGAGGUAAUGGCUCACCAAGGCGACGACGGGUAGCCGGCCUGGAGGAGGGCGAUCCGGCCACACGUGGGACUGAGACACGGCCCAGACCUCCGUACGGGA
RNAcentral lists this ribosomal RNA (234 nucleotides) under uncultured bacterium. RNAcentral describes it as "partial 16S ribosomal RNA". It matches the Rfam family "Bacterial small subunit ribosomal RNA", at positions 118 to 346 of the family's 1533-position model. The record is from RNAcentral.